RNAcentral lists this small nuclear RNA (115 nucleotides) under Suricata suricatta (meerkat). Its description in RNAcentral is "U2 spliceosomal RNA (ENSSSUG00005013452.1)". It matches the Rfam family "U2 spliceosomal RNA". From Rfam's summary of the family: U2 is a small nuclear RNA (snRNA) component of the spliceosome (involved in pre-mRNA splicing). Complementary binding between U2 snRNA (in an area lying towards the 5' end but 3' to hairpin I) and the branchpoint sequence (BPS) of the intron results the bulging out of an unpaired adenosine, on the BPS, which initiates a nucleophilic attack at the intronic 5' splice site, thus starting the first of two transesterification reactions that mediate splicing. The record is from RNAcentral. Lineage: Eukaryota; Metazoa; Chordata; Mammalia; Carnivora; Herpestidae.
AUCGCUUCUCGGCCUUCCGGCUAAGAUCAAGUGUAGUAUCUGUUCUAAUCAGUUUAAUAUAAUCCAUUUUCCACAAAGGAGCCAGCGAGAUUCAAAAACAAAAUACAAACAAUAU